Molecule: ribosomal RNA, 253 nt
Filed under: uncultured bacterium
Lineage: Bacteria
Description: partial 16S ribosomal RNA
Rfam family: Bacterial small subunit ribosomal RNA
Source: RNAcentral
UACGAAGGGGGCUAGCGUUGCUCGGAAUCACUGGGCGUAAAGGGUGCGUAGGCGGGUCUGUAAGUCAGGGGUGAAAUCCUGGAGCUCAACUCCAGAACUGCCUUUGAUACUGAAGAUCUUGAGUUUGGGAGAGGUGAGUGAAACUGCGAGUGUAGAGGUGAAAUUCGUAGAUAUUCGCAAGAACACCAGUGGCGAAGGCGGCUCACUGGCCCGAUACUGACGCUGAGGCACGAAAGCGUGGGGAGCAAACAGG